UACGGAGGGUGCAAACGUUGCUCGGAAUCAUUGGGCGUAAAGCGCACGUAGGCGGAUCGCUAAGUCGGGUGUGAAAGCCCUCAGCUUAACUGAGGAAGUGCAUUCGAAACUGACGAUCUUGAGUACGGAAGAGGGUCGCGGAAUUCCCGGUGUAGAGGUGAAAUUCGUAGAUAUCGGGAGGAACACCAGUGGCGAAGGCGGCGACCUGGGCCGAUACUGACGCUGAGGUGCGAAAGCGUGGGGAGCAAACAGG
RNAcentral lists this ribosomal RNA (253 nucleotides) under uncultured bacterium. Its description in RNAcentral is "partial 16S ribosomal RNA". It matches the Rfam family "Bacterial small subunit ribosomal RNA", at positions 524 to 776 of the family's 1533-position model. The record is from RNAcentral.